Molecule: long non-coding RNA, 2615 nt
Organism: Pan troglodytes (chimpanzee)
Lineage: Eukaryota; Metazoa; Chordata; Mammalia; Primates; Hominidae
Exons: 2
Source: RefSeq, a predicted model, not a curated record
AAACAAAUGUGUGAAAUUGUUGGGCUGUAGCAUCACCUUUGCCACCCUGCAGUGAUAGUGGAGCUAAAAGUCCCCUGAGAGAGGAGUCGUGUUGAUGGUGGUUGAAGUAGGAGGGUGGAAAUGGAGAAGUUCAGCCUUAUAUUAAUAGGAUCUGUAAGUAAAAUUCACAAGCACCCCAACUGUGUGGUUGGCUGAGCAUCACAGGUGUAAAUUAUUAUUAACUCCAUGCCCAACAGAAUUCAGCUCUCCUCUAUUUUUACUAUAGGAAAACACACAAUAGCUGUGUAUUUUAAUUUUUUUUCUUCUUCCGUCUGUGACUCGAGCCAAAGAGCAAUAGCUAUUUUUUAAAGUUCGCAUUGUGUUCAGGCAUAUAGUAAACAUCCCUCAGUGGUGAGUGUUUUAACAUUCUUUACUUUUCUCUUUUUUUGGGGUGGGGGGACAGAGUCUCACUCUGUUGCCCAGUCUGGAGUGCAGUGGUGUGAUCUCGGCUCACUGCAACCUCCGCCUCCCAGGUCCAAGCUUCAGCCUCCCGAGUAGCUGGGAUUACAGGUGCCCACCACCAUGCCCAGCUCAUUUUUGUAUUUUUUUAGGAGAGAUGAAAUUUCGCCAUGCUGGCCAGGCAGGUCUUGAACUCCUGGCCUCAAGUGAUCCGCCCACCUUGGCCUCCCAAAGUGCUGGGAUUACAGCAUGAGCCACUGUGCCCGGCCUUAACGUUCAUUUUUCAACAUGUAAAUUCAGGCAAGAUUAAUAGAAAGAAAAUGGGGUCCCAGAUUGCCUCACCCCAAGCCCAUCUUCUUUGGGCUUUUGGAGUAUGAAAAGGGGGACGUGCUGUGGUCUCCGCCUGAAGCUGGCUCGCCCGGGAGCCCUCCUGGACCCGUAAGGAGGAGAACAAACCCUGGCAAAUCCGACUGGCCCGAAGUGGAUUUGCUAGAGUGACAGGCAGCAAAAUUAAUUCAGUAAGGCAUUCUUAAGUGUAUCACUUCACAAAGGAGUCAAAACUGCAGGAAUCUGAACGCAAAGAUGCCAAGCAAAAGGACUGGGAGAAGACCUGCCUACUGUGUACAUUUGACUCUGUUUUGUGCCUUAAGAGUUAUGCGAGAGGCUGACUCUAAAGUCGUUAGAAUGGAGAACCCAGGGAGGCUUCCUUCAAGAUGAAGAGUGAGGAGGGAAAGCUGCCAGGAUGCAAGGCUGCUCUGGCGACAGGGUCUUCCCUUCUGCCCCUUAACCCUUUGUCUCUUUCUCUGUUGUCCAGUCCUCUACAAAUUGUCCAGCCCACUGCAGGGAGCCAGUCUGAUGGAUUCAAUAGUUUGCCCCAUUGGAGGGAGUCCUCAUGGGCCACCUGUCAGCCAGUGGACCUAUUCUGGUCAAGUGUCCUCCCCUGAUCUCCAGUGACCUAGGUGGCGCCCAGUCUGGCUUGCCUGGCCACCUCCCACCUCUGGUGGAGGGCAGGCAUCAUGCAUGUAUUUGGAAAAUACAUUUGAUUUUAGAGUUUAAUUCUGGACAGUGGUCUUGGGACUGUCUUCAGUAGCAAGGAUCAUGUGACCAAGUCCCCAUUUCUUUUCACAUUUCAGCUGCCUAAUUUACUCCUAAAAUGUACUCUGUGUGCUGGGUGGGGAAAUUCUGAACUGGCUUCUGAUUCUGGCUCUCACAUCAGGGGACCACCCUUAAGACUCGGAGCAAGCCGCCACUUCUUAGGGUCCCAGUUUGCUGCCCUGUGGCACAGCAGGGUUAGGAGGGAGGAGCACAAACUAACCUGCCAUCACCCCGUGGCUGAGUUGGGAUUUUGAACUGCUGCUGUUAUACAUAAUAACUUUUAUGGCUUCGGGCACCGAGAGAGGGAGGCCCUAAUUCCUUUACCAGAACUCAAACCCUUGUGUACAUAACAUUUUUAGGAAUCUAUGUUCAUAGCUGGGGACAGAGUGGCAGAAUGGUGAAGUGUUCCCACUGGUGUCACACCCGUCUCAGCGAGAAUCAGCCUUUGUCACAGACCUGCUCCGUAACCUCGGGAAGAUGAUCUGACUUCUGGACACCUGGUUUUCCUCCUCUGGGAAGUGGGGAUACUAAUAGGUCCUCCCCGCCCGGCUUAUUGGAGGAGUAAGAGGCAGCACAUGCAAAGCAGUUAACCAGGAGCCCGGGUAGGGACCUGGCUGUGAGUUCAGAGCCUGGGAUUUGUGGGAUGGCCAGUGUAUGCACUUCCAGUGACUGCUGGCAUUACCACAAUCCUUGGUAGCUUAACACAACAGAAAUCUACUCUCUCACAGUUCUAGAGGCCAGAAGUCUAAACUCCAUACUGCUCAGCUGUGCACUGGCUGCGGGCUCCAGGGGAGAAUCUGUUCCUGGUCUCUUCCAGCUUCUGGUGGCCAGCCGCAUUCCUUGGCUCGUGGCUGCAUCGCUCCAGUCUUCAAGAGAUACCUGCAUUGGACAGAUGCAGUGGCUCACACCUGUAAUCCCAGUGCUUUGGGAGGCUGAGGCGGGAGGAUCACUUGGGGCCAGGAAUUGAAGAUUAUGCUGGGCAACAUAGUAAGACCCCGUCUCUACAAAAUAAAAAGAAAAGAACUGUAUUUAGGGCCCACCCAUGUAAUCCAGGAUAAUCUCCUUCCAUGUCAAGACCCUUA